RNAcentral lists this ribosomal RNA (193 nucleotides) under Clostridium botulinum. RNAcentral's name for it is "partial 23S ribosomal RNA". It matches the Rfam family "Bacterial large subunit ribosomal RNA", at positions 2736 to 2925 of the family's 2925-position model. The record is from RNAcentral. Lineage: Bacteria; Bacillati; Bacillota; Clostridia; Eubacteriales; Clostridiaceae.
CAUAGCUGGGUAGCUAAGUCGGGACGGGAUAAACGCUGAAAGCAUCUAAGCGUGAAGCCUCCUUCAAGAUGAGAUUUCCCAUAGCGUAAGCUAGUAAGACCCCUUGAAGACUACAAGGUUGAUAGGUCAGAGGUGUAAGUAUGGCAACAUAUUUAGCUGACUGAUACUAAUAGGUCGAGGGCUUGACCAAUAA